AUACAUGAGCAAAAUCUCAACUUUAUUAGAAGAGACGCAUUUAUUAGAUAAAAAGCCAAUGCAUGCUUUUACAGUAUGAAAAUUGGUGAUUUAUAAUAACUUAGCAAAUCGCAUAGUGAAAACAGGCGAUAAAUCAUUCAAGUUUCUGACCUAUCAGCUUUCGACGGUAUGGUAUUGGCUUACCGUGGCAGUGACGGUUAACGGGGGAUUAGGGUUCGAUUCCGGAGAGGGAGCCUGAGAAACGGCUACCACAUCUAAGGAAGGCAGCAGGCGCGCAAAUUACCCAAUUCUAACAGUUUGAGAGAGGUAGUAACAAGAAAUAACAAUACAAGGCAGUUAAAAUGCUUUGUAAUUGGAAUGAUAGAAAUUUAAACCCUUUUUAAAGUAUCAAUUGGAGGGCAAGUCUGGUGCCAGCAGCCGCGGUAAUUCCAGCUCCAAUAGCGUAUAUUAAAAUUGUUGCAGUUAAAAAGCUCGUAGUUGAAGUUCUGCUAAAAGUAACCGGUCUGCUUUGAAUAAAAGUGGUAUCUUGGUAUGUAUUUAGCAAUGAUGUCCUUUGAAGUGUUUUUUACUUUAUUGUAAUAAAGCAUAUUCAGGACUUUUACUU
This 604-nucleotide ribosomal RNA is filed under the name Hepatozoon canis. RNAcentral's name for it is "SSU rRNA". It matches the Rfam family "Eukaryotic small subunit ribosomal RNA", at positions 167 to 757 of the family's 1831-position model. Lineage: Eukaryota; Apicomplexa; Hepatozoidae. The record is from RNAcentral.